This is a long non-coding RNA of Medicago truncatula (barrel medic), 1978 nucleotides long. RefSeq lists it as uncharacterized. The record is from RefSeq and is a predicted model, not a curated record. NCBI's taxonomy places the organism in Eukaryota, Viridiplantae, Streptophyta, Magnoliopsida, Fabales, Fabaceae. The transcript has 6 exons.
ACGUACUCCGCCUUAUCAUGACUUUUUUAGUUUCUACGGCCAUAAUUGAGAGAUCCUUUUCAGUAAUGAAGAUUAUCAAGACUAGAUGGAAAGUGGGUUUCUAAACAAUAGCACGACGGUUUAUAUCGAAAGGGAAAUUAGUGCAAGUAAUUGAAGGAUUUGAUAUUCAUGGUAUAAAAAGGUCUUUGAUUAUAUGAAAGUUCUUGAUACAAAGAAUUCUCCCAAUGAUGCAGAAAAUUUAUGAUGGAAAUGGUACAGAAAUUUGCUUGGUUUUUCAUGGAAAUGUUAUGUUGUGGUAUAAUUCAAGCUUCAGGCACAGUUCAAAUGCUUUAAAGAGGAAGAGCAAACCAAUGAGCAGGUGAUGAUGGAAAGGGAAAUAGCACAAAAGAAGAACUUUCUAAGGGUUUGACUUGAGAGUGUAUAAUACUGUGAUUUUUGUGUAUAUCUGAAGGUUAUUCUUUCUGAUGCAAAUGUUCCCGGUGAAGAGGAUUAUGAACUUUUUAAUUUUGUUUAAUGUUUUCUACCUCUGAUUCUGUUUGAUUCAAUGUUUGGUAGAUUGGAUUUUGAGAUUGUGAAAGUGAGAUUUUUUGACUUAGUUUGUGUUUUUGAGUGACUGUGUUAUCAAUACAACUUUUUAUUUCCAUUUUGUCUGAUGAUCAUAAUUUUUGUAUACAGAGGCGAAGAGACAGGAUAAAUGAGAAGAUGUGUGCAUUGCAAGAACUCAUACCUAAUUGCAAUAAGUGUUAGUGUGUUUGGUGUCUCAGUAGAAUCAAUGCAAUGUUCUUAUGAUUCAAAAGGAAACAGUGUCCCCGCUAUUCUGUUACUGAUGCAGGAGAGGUUAUACUCACAGGGGAGGACUAAAGGCUGCAGGAAUAUUUUGUAUAAAUCUAGAAAACGGUGAAGAGGAACAUUUGAGGGAGCAAUUCAAUAGUGGCAUUGUGCCAAUUGACAUUGAUGUACAUUGCUUGGCUGGCUUAAUUAAAGCAUGGUUUAGGGAACUUCCUUCAGGAGUGUUAGAUGGACUUUCACCUGAGGAAGUUCUUGAAUGCAACACUGAAGAAGAAUUUGUUGAGCUUGUGAAGCUGCUGAAACCAGUUGAAUCAGCUUUGCUUAAUUGGGCUGUUGAUCUUAUGGCUGAUGUUGUAGUUGAAGAGGAGUAUAACAAAUUGAAUGCUAUAAAUAUUGCUAUGGUUUUUGCUCCAAAUAUGACUCAGGUAUGCUUAUGUGCUUGCACUUUUUGUGUAUAUAAAUCAUGUAUCCCCUGCAAGAAAUCACAGAGAACCUGUAGAAGAUAAUUUAAAAGAAAACAACAAUGUUUCAUAAGAGUGAUAGAGAUUAUCAAAUUUGACUUGCAAAUUAGAUUUAAGUUCUAUUGCCACCUACUAUAUGCAACACAAUGACUUAUUUUCUCUAUUUGUUUGUUUUCUGUCAGAGAAGCAUAUAGAAUUCUAUAAGAAAGUUCUAAGUAGUUUUUAAAGCAGCUAAACCCGCAGAUCCAUGUUUGUAACAUUCAUUUUCGUUGUGUUCUGCAUUAGAGGUUAUUAUUUAAACAAAAGGUUAACUGUGAAGCACUUUUUUUCUUCUUUUGCCUUUGGAAAGGCAUGGCAUACUGAUGUUCUAUUGGACUUCAUCUGAUUGAUAAAUUGAGCAGCACAUUAAUUCAGAGAUGAAAGUGCUGAUUAUGAAGCAUACGCCGAAACUGCAAAAGAAAAUGCUGAUCAUGAAGCAAAUGUUGAAAUUGCACAAGAUGUUUGAGAAGACAAGUUCCAUGAAAGCUGAGAAUGCAGACCAUGAUAAGACUUGCGACUAUUUCGAAAGCGCAAGAAAAUGAAAUGACAAUUUCGCAGACAUCCGAAACCGAACUUGUAUUUUUGUUUCUCUUAUCAAAAAGCUUGAAUAAUUUUAGGGUUAAUAGUGUUUUUCAUCUCUAUAAUAUAUGUCAUUUCCAGUUUUUCCUCCUAUAAAAUUUUCGGUUUGA